Molecule: small nucleolar RNA, 135 nt
Organism: Parambassis ranga (Indian glassy fish)
Lineage: Eukaryota; Metazoa; Chordata; Actinopteri; Ambassidae
Product: small nucleolar RNA SNORA5
Source: Ensembl
UGCAGCUUUGUCAAAUUCAGUGCUCUCUUCUUAGUGGGGUGCACUGGCCAAAAUGGCUGCAACAUUAACUGUAGUUCAUGGGCCCCACGUUUCUUUGCCAUGGACCAUGGGGAUAAAUAUGUACUGCAAACAAAA